UCUCACUUCACUCCUCUUGCCCUAAGGCUUGGAACUUCACUGAAAGCUGGGUCUGGUAACUUAACUUCGCAAGCUUCAAAGCGGGUAAGCAAGCUCGGGUAAAGAGAAUAGCCGGCUUCAGGAAAGGAAGAGAAGUAGUUUACUUGUGAAGGCAGGUUUGGGUCAGUUCGCGGCAGGGGAAGGAGAUUGAGUGGGUUCUGGCCACUCCGACAGAGAAGGAAGCCGGCCAAAGUAGAAUACGAUUAACCGGAACAGCACCCGCCUAUUGAAG
Molecule: unclassified non-coding RNA, 271 nt
Filed under: Hevea brasiliensis (rubber tree)
Lineage: Eukaryota; Viridiplantae; Streptophyta; Magnoliopsida; Malpighiales; Euphorbiaceae
Source: RNAcentral